UAGAGUUUGAUCAUGGCUCAGAUUGAACGCUGGCGGAAUGCUUUACACAUGCAAGUCGAACGGCAGCACGGAGAGCUUGCUCUCUGGUGGCGAGUGGCGAACGGGUGAGUAAUAUAUCGGAACGUGUCCAAUAAUGGGGGAUAACGAGUCGAAAGAUUCGCUAAUACCGCAUACGCCCUACGGGGGAAAGCAGGGGAUCGUAAGACCUUGCGUUAAUGGAGCGGCCGAUAUCUGAUUAGCUUGUUGGUGAGGUAAAGGCUCACCAAGGCGACGAUCAGUAGCUGGUUUGAGAGAACGACCAGCCACACUGGAACUGAGACACGGUCCAGACUCCUACGGGAGGCAGCAGUGGGGAAUUUUGGACAAUGGGGGCAACCCUGAUCCAGCCAUUCCGCGUGAGUGAAGAAGGCCUUCGGGUUGUAAAGCUCUUUCGCAAGGGAAGAAAACUUAUGAUCGAAUAAAUCAUGAGGUUGACGGUACCUUGAUAAGAAGCACCGGCUAACUACGUGCCAGCCGCCGCGGUAAUAC
This 528-nucleotide ribosomal RNA is filed under the name uncultured Methylophilus sp. Its description in RNAcentral is "bacterial SSU rRNA". It matches the Rfam family "Bacterial small subunit ribosomal RNA", at positions 1 to 526 of the family's 1533-position model. Lineage: Bacteria; Pseudomonadati; Pseudomonadota; Betaproteobacteria; Nitrosomonadales; Methylophilaceae. The record is from RNAcentral.